CCGUCGACUUCAUAGAGGCAACCGAAGAGCAAUGCGUAUUGUCAAAAGACAUGCCCUAACAGGCAGGCACUGUACAGGCAGGUUUCAAUAGGAGAAUGACUAUCUAUGCUCGAACAUGAGAAGCUGACAAAACACUCAUUGGUCAGAUGAGAGUCGGUUUAUGUUUUGACCAGUAGACGCCAUAAUACGAAUUUCGCGGGGAAAUAA
Molecule: long non-coding RNA, 207 nt
Filed under: Mytilus galloprovincialis (Mediterranean mussel)
Lineage: Eukaryota; Metazoa; Mollusca; Bivalvia; Mytilida; Mytilidae
Source: RNAcentral